GCUAGUAAUGGCAGGUCAGCAUACUGCCGUGAAUACGUUCCCGGGCCUUGUACACACCGCCCGUCACACCAUGAGAGUUGGGGAUACCCGAAGCCUGUGAGCCAACAGUUAAUGAGGCAGCAGUCGAAGGUAGAAUCAAUGAUUGGGGUGAAGUCGUAACAAGGUAAC
Molecule: ribosomal RNA, 168 nt
Filed under: uncultured bacterium
Lineage: Bacteria
Description: partial 16S ribosomal RNA
Rfam family: Bacterial small subunit ribosomal RNA
Source: RNAcentral